CUCCCAAGUAGCUGGAACUACAGGCACCUGCCACCAUGCCCAGAUGUGAUUAACCCACCCUGAGAUGGGGGUUACCUGGAUUAUCUGGUUGGGCCCUGAAUGUUACCACAAGUGUCCUUGCAAGACGAAGGCUGAAGUAGAUCUGACUACAGACAGCAGAGAAUAUGAUACGACAGUAAAGAAAGAUUUGAAGAUGCUACACUGCUGGCUUUGAAGACAGAAGAAGGGGCCAUGAGCCACAGAAUGCAAGAAGUACAGCUCUGGAGGCUGGAAAAGGAUUCGUCCUAGACCCUCCUCAGGGAGCAUGGCCAUGCCAACACCUUGGUUUCAGCCAAGUGGAAAUGAUUUCAGACUUCUGACCUCCAGAACUGCAAGAGAACAAGUAUAUGUUGGUUUAAGUCGCCAGGUUUGUGGGAAUUUGUUACAGCAGCCAUAGAAAGCUAACACUCCUUUAUAUCCCUAUAGUGCCCAUGUAUUCAACAGGCAUGCUUAUUUCUUAUAGUUGUUUAGGCCCUGAAUCAAACUUUCUCCACACCUGAAUAGUCCCCAUUUGCCAUCUAAUGUUUCUACACAUAAGCCUUAGCAUAUAUGAAAACGGUGUUAAACAUGUCCCAUUAGUGUAUAAAGGGAGUCAGUGUAAAUUUAUUUACCUGCUGUAGCUUCACACAGCAAUGGCUGGUGGCCCAAACAGACCAGGCCAGGUGGCACAUGGCUGCACUGCCACUUGGUCCUAUGAAUCCCAAGAGGACUACAUGACUUUUCUGGAGGCCCUUCUUACAGGGAUGGGAGUGCCACACGCUUACCCGUGAAAUAACUAUUGGUAAUUUUGUUUACAAAAUGGGAAUACAAGCCUAUAAAAAUCCAAGUAUAGGUGUUCUGAGCAGAAAUUGUCCAAAGCUCAUUUACACAGCAGGGUGAAUAGAAAAAGCUUACCUGAGCUUAUAUGCUGAACUUGAAGUUACAUAGUUAACACAUGUGAAUACAAUCUCCUUGUAAAAAGUUAAAAAAAAUCAGGUAGGGCCAAAUAAGAUCCCUCAUGAGGACUAUAUGCCCCUUAUGAGGACUAUACACCCCUGCCUCAGUUUCCUCCCUGGUUUGUUUCUAACUUACAAUGGAUACAUGAUCCAAAAUAACAUUUCUGAGUAUUUUAUCAACCAUCACACACUGAAACUAUAAAUACAUUUUGUUAUGCAAGCUGAAUACUAAACAAUGAGACAGAGGAUUUUUAUUUUUUUGUUUAGGAGGGACAAACACAAAGCUCAUUUUCUAUCAAGUUAAAAUAAAUUAGACUAACAAUG
This 1298-nucleotide long non-coding RNA is filed under the name Homo sapiens (human). RNAcentral describes it as "HSALNT0388462". Lineage: Eukaryota; Metazoa; Chordata; Mammalia; Primates; Hominidae. The record is from RNAcentral.